Molecule: long non-coding RNA, 393 nt
Filed under: Populus trichocarpa (black cottonwood)
Lineage: Eukaryota; Viridiplantae; Streptophyta; Magnoliopsida; Malpighiales; Salicaceae
Description: long non-coding RNA (PTRI_LNC004624)
Source: RNAcentral
UCAUUUUGUAAUUUGGGAGAGGCAACACAAAAAAGGGAAACCCUAAAAAACUAAACCUUUUCUUCUCCCUAUCGAGGACCGGCCGCCAGCCUUGGACCCCCCUGUUUUUGAUUUUCUUCUUCCCCUCAGCAGCCGGCACAAGCAGCAGCCCCCAAAAGACUUUCCCAUCUCCUUCUUCGCUUGAGCCACCACCACUGGACCUUCCACCUCUGCCUCUCCCCCCUCACAGCUUCCCCACACAAGGCCACUUCCCCUCUGCCUCUCUCCCUCUCGGCCGCUCCCUCUUCUCCAGCCAUAACCGCCGCUGGAACCUUCCCCUCUCUCGGCCGCUCACUCCCCUGCUCCCAGCACCUUCCUUCUUCUUCUGGCUCUCUCGGCCGACCACCGUUCUUC